CUGAUGAUGUUCAAGCAUAUGUGAAAGAAAAUUGUUUUGGAAUACCGGCAAUUACAAGCUCUCAUUCUGAUUGGAGUUUUUACUCGCGUGUUCGUUCAACUUUGCGUUAAUGAAGAUUAAGAAAAUUUAGUGCUUUGGAUUAUGUUUGUGUGGUAAAUUAUGAUUUUGUUAAAGGCUUAAUCGUUUUAUGUAUGACGGUUUGGAUUAAGUUUCUUUUAAUUUUAUGAAUGGUUGUUUUUGGUGUUUCAUCUAUGUAUGUAUGGCCGUUAUGAUUAAUAGUAUAUUUUACUCUAUUUUACAAUUUUUAAGACAUGCCUUUUAUCGAUAAUUAUCAAUAUUAUCCUUUUGAAUUGUCACAUUGCUUUCCUAUUAACGUCAAUCUGGUCAUUAAGAUUGAGUGACGGAUGAUUGUCCUACAAUAUUUGAUCAAUCCUCACACGUAGAUUAGCUUCUAUAAGCCUUUUGGGAAUGGUUUCUCUAAGUUUAAGGCGCUAAAGUUACUCUAACUUUAAACUAUUACCUACCAUUAGAUCAAUCACGUGUUUUAACUAAUGCCACGUCUCAUUAUAAUAAAUUUGAAAUUGGACAAAUAAACAAAAUACAUUAACUACAGCUUCUGUUUUUCCCAUACUACCACAACUGUUGCACAGAGUCAUUAUAAUCCACUGUGACCAUUAUAUUCGUGUGUGAGCUCCAUUUAAAUUUAGUAAAUGCUUAUAGUUCUUCAAAAUCCUGUUGUACACGGUAGAAAAAAAGGAAAAUAUCUAUUUACUUGCAAGUUUUUAUUCUUGCACGUUUUUAUUUAAUUUUCUUUUUCAACGUACCUAUUUUCAACGGAGUUAUUAAAACGUAAGAAGGAAGAAGGAAACAUGAGAAGAUAGGGGAUAUAUGUUAGUGCGUGAGAUACUUUUAGUGAAGAAUUCUUUGACCUUGACAAAAGCCUCCUCACACUCAACGGUCCAUUCGAACUUCUCAUUUUUCUUCAGGACGAUGAAGAAAAGGAAAGUCGUGUCGCUCGCGCAGGAGAGGAAUUGAGAUAUGGAGGCAAGGCGUCUAUUAAAUUAUUGAACUUCCUUCACAUUGGUAGAGCUCCUCAUAUCAAUGAUCGACUGACACUUGUCUGGAUUGACUUUAAUCCCUCUUUUUGUCAGCAUAAAACCCAUAAAUUUCUUCGUUUGAACUCCAAAAGAGCACUUUGAGGGGUUUAGGCGCAUAUCAUACAUCUUUACUGACGACAAGAUAUCCUCCAGGUCGUCGGCGUGACUAUGCUCCUCCACCGUUUUGAUAAUCAUGUCGUAGACAUAUACCUCUACAUUUCUCCCAAUUUGAUGGGCGAGACCGCAUCCAUGAGUCACUGCAAGGUGGCGCCAGCAUUCUUGAGGCCGAAUGACACAACAUUGUAAUAAUAGUUGCCAUGGUUCGACAUGAAGGUGGUUUUAGGCGCAUCCAAGGGAUCCAUUCGGAUCUUGUUGUAACCCAAGUAGGUUUAACACCGUAGUUUUUAAAUUAAUUUAUCUUAUUAAGUUAAAUAUGUUUAAAUAGUUUAUUUGAGUGCUUUGUGUAUUUUUUGGGGGGUUAUUGAGGGUGGUAAAAUUUAUAUAAUUUAUCACUAUUUUUGGAUUAAUUAAAAUAAUAGAAAAUCAGAUAAAAUAAUGAAAUAAUGAGUUAUGAGGGAAAAUAGAAAAAUUAAAUAGUUAGUAGGACAAAGAGAGAUAGACCAAAAGUGGAGGGGGAAUUAGAAAUAAUAAAAGAUUAAAUUAGGUUUUUAUUUAAAAGAAAACAGAAGGAGAAAAAUAAGUUUAUGCAGUACAUGAAACUUGGGAAAAGAGGAGUUGAAGAGGCAAGAGAACAAAUCUAGAGGGAAGAACUACCAUUGCUGAAAAUUCACCCUUUUGCUGCAAAAUUUAGGUAAAGAGGGAAUUAUUCAUUAUUGGGUGCUUAUUUCAUAAAGGAUGGUGAGGGAUCCUCACCAUCUUCUCUCUUUGUUGUGUUUUCUCCCAUGGUUAAGUUAGUGAUUUUAGAGAGGGUUUUACAAAAUCUUACUCCUAAUUGUUGUGAUUAAUUAUAAUUCAUACUCUGUUUUAUUGUCUGAAUUAUUGUAUGACUUGCAUGCAAAAAUAUAAAUGAUGAUUUUUCAUGUUCUUAUGCCUUAUGAUAAACACGUGAAUUGAUUUUGUGAAAAUAUAUGGAAUAAAUGGUGAAUAUGUGUGCAAAUGAUGUAUUGAACAUUGAAUAAAUAUGUAUGAUGUUUUUCUGUUCGAUUUGAGUGGAUGAGGGUUGAGAUUUGAGCUUUGGAAAUGCUCUCAUGUCCAAAAAAAACGUAGUUAUGCCUUAUGCACAAUGAUGACGGGCAUCACCUGGGUGACGAGCGACCUGUCACUUCAAAUGGGGGAGCUGACGGACGUCAACGUGAUGACAGGGAGACCAUCAUAAUCUCCGAGACACACUUAUUUCCCGGGCGUCAGCAGGAUGACAAAUUUGUGUGGGUAAAGGGUGACGGGUUGUCAUGACGGCCGUCAUGAUGGGUGGUUGACCUCCAACCCUUCGUUUGAUUGGUUUUGGAUUGUCAGUUCGAUUUUUCGAGCUAUUUUCACUUCCAGCGACUGGUCGUUGAUGUUUUAUUGAGUUUGGUGAGUUGGUGAGUAAAGUUGUUAUGUUUUAAGAAUUGUUAAAAUUUUCUCUAUUGAGAUAUGAGUAACUUGUUGAAUGAUUGUAUGAUUAUGCAUUGGUGAGUCAUAAUUAUGUAUCAUGUUUAUUAUGUUGAGGUGGUAGCCUUAUUGGCGAUGCGUGUGGUUCAAAGAGAAACCAAUGAUAAUUAUUGCAUAUGUAUGUGUUGUUGCAUUUCAUGCAUCAUGGUGUAUAAACUUUGGUCCAGUGUUGCAUCGCUGGUGAAGGAGAAGGGCGAUCCAAAACGCAACGGAAUUUUUAAAAAAAUCUCCUUUAGUGAUCCUUACGAAUAGGCAUGAUCAGUGAUAGAAUCGUUACCUCUUGUGACGAUUGAAACCUUUGAUGCAAAUCUACGAAGCGAUCACGAACGUUAAACGAUGACAACUCCUCUACUCACUCCACACGAACGGAUUCCUUCAAAAUCAGUGUUAUCUGCUAUGAAUGAAGGCUUUGAGUGAGAGAGAGAGAGAGAGAGAGAGAGAGAGAGAGAGAAAAGAAAUUGCAACUGCACAAAUGCUUCUGCACAAGGGUUCUAUUUAUAGAACCACUUGUGUGGGUUGCAAGCUAAAAAAUAUCUCACUUAAGUGUAUGUGGCCCAUAUCUUAUAAUAUGCCAAAAUCACUUAAGUGUGUGGUACCUUACCAUAUUUCGUAUUCUACUUAAGUACAUCAUACCUUACGAUAUUCUACAAUUCACUUAAGUGCACCGUAAGUUACGGUGUUCCUUAGUUACUCUAUCUCUCAUCAAUUUGUCCUUUUGUGUGUGACCCUGUAGUUUUAGCGACAUUGACAAUCAUAUUAAAUCACGUAUUUAACAUAAUAAACAGUGAGCGGUAUCUAGCAACACAUCACUGCUACCCAAGACACGAAAAUGUCAUGUGAUCUGACAAAUCCUUUUGUGAUAAUACUUAUGUGUAAUCACGUAUUUAACAUAAUAAACAGUGAGCGGUAUCUAGCAACACAUCACUGCUACCCAAGACACGAAAAUGUCAUGUGAUCUGACAAAUCCUUUUGUGAUAAUACUUAUGUGUACAAUUACCUUUUUUACCCUUAUGUCUAUAUUGAACACAAGUCAUAGACCGUGUCAUCCUUGUCCAGUUCAAUAUUGGGCCCAUAGACAUUUAUCCUGUUAUGCAGGAUGGGAAAAUUCCAUCUAGGUCACUCAUGUCCCUUAGCAUGCUUCGUGGAGUAUCCAUCAACUGUCUUUAUGGUCAUCCAGUUACGGAUAAUGUUUGAUCAGCAAUAAGGCACUCGAUUAUACAUCUAGGAUCCAUAGUGGUUUCAGGUCGAAGGGUGGUAUACACCAUUAUCACCAUGAGAAUAACUUAUGACACUUUGCAUAAUAUUCUAUAUAGUAUUCUCAUGGCGGGUCAAUCCAGUAUAAAUAUUACUCUUAAUAUUCAUACCUAUGUUUAAGACUUGAUAACUUCUUAUCCAUGAUCCAUGAGAUGUGAUCAUCAGUCUAUAUACAUAAUAGUCUUAAUGCUUUAAUGUUAUCCCACUUCACAAUAAAGCUCGACUACGGAUACUUUAAGAAUAGUGUCCUUAUGUUUAAUGUGAUCUCAUGAUUAAGUCAUACUUGAUACAUUAAACGGACUAGCUAUUCUAGGGACUUUAUUAAACAAACAUAAUAAAGAAAAAGCCUUUUAUUAUUAAUAAAUAAUUCGAUACAAGUACCAAAAGUAUUGGCCUCUAGGGCUUACGCCAACAACUGGUUCAUAAGGGGGGAUGAGUGAAUAGACGUGUUUCAGAAGGGAGGAUCGAUGACAUUUAUGGUUCAAAGGGGGACUAUCGGUGAGUUGACUAAAUCAGUAACAUACCUCUGAUAUCCAAAUUAGUACCACAUGCAUAUAAAUUCGAGGAGUUGAUGCAUUACAUACAUACUCGUUUUGUGAUUGAGUUAUUAUUGUAAUUGGUGAAUUAUUGUGAAUGAUAUUCAUGUGAUUGAUGAUUUCUAGAAUUAUAUUAUCCUUUACUGCUUAUGCAUCACUAACUCUAUUGAAUGUAUUCUCAUCCCCUAGUUGUUUUGUUUGUAGUGUUUUGUACUCUCGUGGUACAGAUACUCAGGAAGAGGAACACAAGUUGUUGUUGAGCUGAAGGAUGGCAUUGAGGCAUCGUCAUCUAUUUUACAAUUUUGUGAGUUGUUUAGUUUUGGUGUCGCUGUGAUAUUAUACACUGAGGACUGGUUGCCUUGUUGCAUGUUAUAUUUCUUAAGAUGUUUGAGUUAUUUUAUUUAGUAAAUUCUAUUGAGACUAAUAAAUUUUUUUCUUUGAAGUAUUGAUAUUUUAUUCCACUACAUGUUUUAUGUUAUAAUUCAUGAGAAAAAUGUAUGUUGGGAAUGUGUAACACCAAGGAUGUGUAAAAUUAUAUGUUUUAGUUUUAUAAAUCAAGGGUUUCAGGUUUUAGGGUGUUACAAUAUAUGUCCAUGAAACUUAACUUACGGUACCAUGAUUACCUGUCGAUUUGACGGUCAAUGUCUGGCAGCGGAUAUUGAUCCUUGGGGAAAGCAUCGUUUAGACCCGUGAAGUCUAUGCACAUGCACCAUUUGUUAUUGGCCUUUCGUACCAAAACUAUAUUAGCCAAUCAAUUGGGGUACUUUGUUUCAGGGAUGAAUUACGUGUUGGAUAGCUUUUCCAGCUUUUCAUCCAUGAUUUCCCUCUUUUCCUCGCCCACCUUCCAUUUCCUCUACGCCACUAGUUUGGCUUAUGGAUGGAUGGUCAAGUGAAGGCUUAUGACUUUGGUGUUUAUACCUGAGGGGUCCCAAAAGAACAGGUUGAUGUUUAUUCUAAGUCAGUCGACUAACUCCUGCUCCUCCCCUAUAAACAAGGAAAUGUCUAUCUUCGUGACUUGAUGAGUGUGAGAACCUAUAUGGACUUCCUUCAGGUCUUCGAUGGGCGUGAGCCUUUCCAUCUAUGCGCCUAAUCUAGGGUACUAACCCUCAAAGUCAGUAUUUGGAACUUCAAAAGGAUGCGCAUCAACAAGAGUGAACUCAUAUCUAGAUGUAUCCAAGCUUCUCAUAUAUAUAUAUAAUUUUAACAACUUUUAUAACUUUAAUUUUCAGCCUAAUACAGCAAUUUUUACUGAGUCCUAUGAUGCAGAGGAUAAGCAUGACAAAGCUUUAGGUGAGGGAUUUACUAAUAUUUUAUAUUAAUGUUUUGUAGUCUUUAAAUUUUUUGAGAUACUGUAUAGAUUAAUUUAUCCUGUGUAAAAAUAAAUUUUAUGAUAUCAUUUUUAAUCAUGGUUAACCGUAACAAAUUUUGGAUAAUGUCCGUUGGAUUAAACGAUCUAAUAUUUAGAUAUUUGAGGAUUUAAGAAGUGUGACAUUUGUGAUUUGUGUAGAUCCAAAGGGUGAACUGUGCAAGUACUUGAAAGGACUAGCUGAAGCUGAUGAUGUUCAAGCAUAUGUGAAAGAAAAUUGUUUUGGAAUACCGGCAAUUACAAGCUCUCAUUCUGAUUGGAGUUUUUACUCGCGUGUUCGUUCAACUUUGCGUUAAUGAAGAUUAAGAAAAUUUAGUGCUUUGGAUUAUGUUUGUGUGGUAAAUUAUGAUUUGGAAUACCGGCAAUUACAAGCUCUCAUUCUGAUUGGAGUUUUUACUCGCGUGUUCGUUCAACUUUGCGUUAAUGAAGAUUAAGAAAAUUUAGUGCUUUGGAUUAUGUUUGUGUGGUAAAUUAUGGUUUUGUUAAAGGCUUAAUCGUUUUAUGUAUGACGGUUUGGAACUUUGGAUUAAGUUUCUUUUAAUUUUAUGAAUGGUUGUUUUUGGUGUUUCAUCUAUGUAUGUAUGGCCGUUAUGAUUAAUCGUAUAUUUUACUCUACUUUGCAAUUUUUAAGACAUGCCUUUUAUCGAUA
RNAcentral lists this long non-coding RNA (6513 nucleotides) under Lathyrus oleraceus (garden pea). RNAcentral's name for it is "Pisum sativum (pea) long non-coding RNA (PSAT_LNC008878)". Lineage: Eukaryota; Viridiplantae; Streptophyta; Magnoliopsida; Fabales; Fabaceae. The record is from RNAcentral.